This 493-nucleotide ribosomal RNA is filed under the name uncultured bacterium. RNAcentral describes it as "partial 16S ribosomal RNA". It matches the Rfam family "Bacterial small subunit ribosomal RNA", at positions 30 to 523 of the family's 1533-position model. The record is from RNAcentral.
AUUGAACGCUGGCGGCAUGCUUUACACAUGCAAGUCGAACGGUAACAGGUUAAGCUGACGAGUGGCGAACGGGUGAGUAAUGCAUCGGAACGUGCCCGGUCGUGGGGGAUAACGCAGCGAAAGCUGCGCUAAUACCGCAUACGAUCUGAGGAUGAAAGCGGGGGACCGUAAGGCCUCGCGCGAUCGGAGCGGCCGAUGUCAGAUUAGGUAGUUGGUGGGGUAAAGGCUCACCAAGCCGACGAUCUGUAGCUGGUCUGAGAGGACGACCAGCCACACUGGAACUGAGACACGGCCCAGACUCCUACGGGAGGCAGCGGUGGGGAAUUUUGGACAAUGGGCGAAAGCCUGAUCCAGCAAUCCCGCUUGCAGGAAGAAGGCCUUCGGGUUGUAAACUGCUUUUGUACGGAGCGAAAAGGCUCUCUCUAAUACAGGGGGCUCAUGACGGUACCGUAAGAAUAAGCACCGGCUAACUACGUGCCAGCCGCCGCGGUAA